AAAACAGCCCUUUUUAGGGCUACCAGAAUGUUUCCAUGAAAGAGUUAU
Molecule: non-coding RNA, 48 nt
Organism: Aedes albopictus (Asian tiger mosquito)
Lineage: Eukaryota; Metazoa; Arthropoda; Insecta; Diptera; Culicidae
Source: Rfam